GAAGAAAGAUAGCGGAAGGAGAGACUAGAGAGAGAGAGAGAAGGGGCGCAGAGGCGUUGACUCCUGCGAGGUGCAUCGAUAUAAGACCUCACAGUAUGUUAUGCAAUCUUCCAAGCUUUGCUGGAACAACCAGAGUAUGAAGUCUCCAUGUGAUGCUAAAACAAUGUAAGGCUUGCCCAUUUAGUUGGAUGCACAAUAUAAAGCAAAGUAAACCUCACUGUUAUUCAAUGCUUGUGAAAUAUUAAUAUUACAUUUUAGUGGUAA
This is a long non-coding RNA of Telopea speciosissima, 264 nucleotides long. RefSeq lists it as uncharacterized. Lineage: Eukaryota; Viridiplantae; Streptophyta; Magnoliopsida; Proteales; Proteaceae. The transcript is spliced from 2 exons. The record is from RefSeq and is a predicted model, not a curated record.